This 408-nucleotide ribosomal RNA is filed under the name uncultured bacterium. Its description in RNAcentral is "partial 16S ribosomal RNA". It matches the Rfam family "Bacterial small subunit ribosomal RNA", at positions 28 to 526 of the family's 1533-position model. The record is from RNAcentral.
GACGAACGCUGGCGGCGUGCUUAACACAUGCAAGUCGAACGAAGUGGCGAACGGGUUAGUAAUACGUGGGUACCCUGCCCUCCUUUUUGGGAUAAGCCUUGGAAACGGGGUCUAAUUCCUAAUAUAGGGGGAUGGGCUCGCGGCCUAUCAGCUUGUUGGUGGGGGGAUGGCCUACCACGGCGGUGACGGUUAGCCGGCCUGCGAGGGUGACCGGCCACAUUGGGACUGAGAUACGGCCAAGACUCCUACGGGAGGCAGAAGUGGGGGAUAUUGCACAAUGGGCGAAAGCCUGAUGCAGCGACGCCGAGUGGGGGUUGAAGGGUUUGGGGUUGUAAACCUCUUACGAUGUCGAACGGGGAGGUGGAGAAGAAGCGCCGGCUAACUACGUGCCAGCAGCCGCGGUAAUUC